Molecule: unclassified non-coding RNA, 187 nt
Filed under: rhizosphere metagenome
Description: partial ribosomal RNA internal transcribed spacer region
Source: RNAcentral
GAAUUAUAGGGCGUCUACUUGUAGAGCCUGACCUCCACUUCUAACACUGUGCACUUGAUGGAGAGGUAAUUAGAUUGAGCCUUCGGGCUUAUGAAGAGAACCUUUCGGCUUCAUUUUAAACAUUAGUCAAAGUAUGUAAAGAAAUUUAAAACAAAAAAAAACUUUCAACAACGGAUCUCUUGGCUCU